CAGCCGCAGUAACACAUGCAAGUCGAGCGAGAAGGGAGCAAUCCCAGUAAAGCGGCGCACGGGUGAGUAACACGUAGGUAAUCUACCUCGAGGUGGUGGAUAACCUUCCGAAAGGAGGGCUAAUACAGCAUGGGACCACGUCUUCGAAAGAGGAUGAGGUAAAAGCGGGCCUCUCUACAGAAGCUCGCGCCACGAGAUGAGCCUGCGGCCCAUCAUGGUAGUUGGUAGGGUAACGGCCUACCAAGCCGAAGACGGGUAGCUGGUCUGAGAGGAUGAUCAGCCACACUGGAACUGAGACACGGUCCAGACUCCUACGGGAGGCAGCAGUGGGGAAUCUUGCGCAAUGGGCGAAAGCCUGACGCAGCGACGCCGCGUGAGUGAUGAAGGCCUUCGGGUUGUAAAGCUCUGUGGAGGGGGACGAAUAAGGGCUGGUGAAUAUCCAGUUUGAUGACGGUACCCCUUUAGCAAGCACCGGCUAACUCUGUGCCAGCAGCCGCCGUAAAAC
Molecule: ribosomal RNA, 505 nt
Filed under: uncultured bacterium
Lineage: Bacteria
Description: bacterial SSU rRNA
Rfam family: Bacterial small subunit ribosomal RNA
Source: RNAcentral